GGAAGGAGGCUCCAUUCAGCAAAGAGGAACUGGAUCUAGCCAAAUUCGGUCAGCUGACAUUCAUCCAUGCUUUAAGUUUGAUGUGUUGCACCAAAAUUAAUUGAUAAAAUCUCUAGCUUAUGAAAUUAUUACUUUAUUAAUUAUCUAGAAAUGUUUUAAUAAUAACUCAUGUUAUUCCCCUUUCCUCUCUUUACCAGAACAAAGAACAUGUGGGU
Molecule: long non-coding RNA, 215 nt
Filed under: Sorghum bicolor (sorghum)
Lineage: Eukaryota; Viridiplantae; Streptophyta; Magnoliopsida; Poales; Poaceae
Description: long non-coding RNA (SBIC_LNC013163)
Source: RNAcentral